AGUUAAUGAGCUUGUUGAAGCAUUUACUUUGAAAGUAAAAUAAAGAAAUAAAAUUUUCUAUUAACUU
RNAcentral lists this transfer RNA (67 nucleotides) under Closteromerus claviger. RNAcentral's name for it is "tRNA-Ser". The record is from RNAcentral. Lineage: Eukaryota; Metazoa; Arthropoda; Insecta; Coleoptera; Cerambycidae.